Molecule: unclassified non-coding RNA, 154 nt
Filed under: soil metagenome
Description: partial internal transcribed spacer 1
Source: RNAcentral
GUGAUUAAAUCGAGCAGUGUCUUCAUUGACCGCUCACCCUUCUCACCAUCCACAUACACCUGUGCACUGUUUAGCCUGAGCCGGUUUUCCGGUCCAGGUUAUCAUUUCAUACAAACUCUAGUCUUAUGAAUGUAAACGUUUUAAUAACAUAAUA